GAUGAACGCUGGCGGCGUGCCUAAUACAUGCAAGUCGAGCGAACAGAUAAGGAGCUUGCUCCUUUGACGUUAGCGGCGGACGGGUGAGUAACACGUGGGUAACCUACCUAUAAGACUGGGAUAACUUCGGGAAACCGGAGCUAAUACCGGAUAAUAUUUCGAACCGCAUGGUUCGAUAGUGAAAGAUGGUUUUGCUAUCACUUAUAGAUGGACCCGCGCCGUAUUAGCUAGUUGGUAAGGUAACGGCUUACCAAGGCGACGAUACGUAGCCGACCUGAGAGGGUGAUCGGCCACACUGGAACUGAGACACGGUGCAGACUCCUACGAGAGGCAGCAGUAGGGAAUCUUCCGCAAUGGGCGAAAGCCUGACGGAGCAACGCCGCGUGAGUGAUGAAGGUCUUCGGAUCGUAAAACUCUGUUAUUAGGGAAGAACAUACGUGUAAGUAACUGUGCACGUCUUGACGGUACCUAAUCAGAAAGCCACGGCUAACUACGUG
This 497-nucleotide ribosomal RNA is filed under the name uncultured bacterium. RNAcentral's name for it is "partial 16S ribosomal RNA". It matches the Rfam family "Bacterial small subunit ribosomal RNA", at positions 28 to 507 of the family's 1533-position model. The record is from RNAcentral.